CACGUAGGGGGCGAGCGUUGUCCGGAAUUAUUGGGCGUAAAGAGCUCGUAGGCGGUUUGUUGCGUCGGCUGUGAAAUCCCGAGGCUCAACCUCGGGUCUGCAGUCGAUACGAGCAAACUAGAGUGUUGCAGGGGAGACUGGAAUUCCUGGUGUAGCGGUGAAAUGCGCAGAUAUCAGGAGGAACACCGGUGGCGAAGGCGGGUCUCUGGGCAACAACUGACGCUGAGGAGCGAAGGCGUGGGGAGCGAACAGG
This 253-nucleotide ribosomal RNA is filed under the name uncultured bacterium. RNAcentral describes it as "partial 16S ribosomal RNA". It matches the Rfam family "Bacterial small subunit ribosomal RNA", at positions 524 to 776 of the family's 1533-position model. The record is from RNAcentral.